GAUCCCGUAGCUCAGUUGGCAGAGCAUCUGACUUUUAAUCAGAGGGUCCCAGGUUCGAGCCCUGGCGGGAUCACCA
This 76-nucleotide transfer RNA is filed under the name Bacteroidota bacterium. Its description in RNAcentral is "tRNA-Lys". It matches the Rfam family "tRNA". From Rfam's summary of the family: Transfer RNA (tRNA) molecules are approximately 80 nucleotides in length. Their secondary structure includes four short double-helical elements and three loops (D, anti-codon, and T loops). Further hydrogen bonds mediate the characteristic L-shaped molecular structure. tRNAs have two regions of fundamental functional importance: the anti-codon, which is responsible for specific mRNA codon recognition, and the 3' end, to which the tRNAs corresponding amino acid is attached (by aminoacyl-tRNA synthetases). tRNAs cope with the degeneracy of the genetic code in two manners: having more than one tRNA (with a specific anti-codon) for a particular amino acid; and 'wobble' base-pairing, i.e. permitting non-standard base-pairing at the 3rd anti-codon position. The record is from RNAcentral. Lineage: Bacteria; Pseudomonadati; Bacteroidota.